RNAcentral lists this ribosomal RNA (510 nucleotides) under Dysdera silvatica. RNAcentral describes it as "partial 16S ribosomal RNA". It matches the Rfam family "Bacterial large subunit ribosomal RNA", at positions 1836 to 2706 of the family's 2925-position model. Lineage: Eukaryota; Metazoa; Arthropoda; Arachnida; Araneae; Dysderidae. The record is from RNAcentral.
AUUGCUAUUACCUAAAGUAAUUCCUGCUCAGUGAAUAUUAACAGCCGCAGAAUUUUAUACUGUGCUAAGGUAGCAUAAUCACUUGUCUUCUAAUUAAAGAAUAGAAUGAACGGAAAAACGAAUUUUAGCCUGUCUCAUUUUUUAAAAAUAAAAUUACCAAAAAGUAAAAACACUUUUUUUCAAAAAAAAGACGAUAAGACCCUAAAGAACUUUACUAAAGUUAAGCUGGGGCGGCUUUCCAAAAAAAUCUUACUUUUAAUUCCCUAUACCCUUCAUUAAUUAUCAAUGUUACCUUAGGGAUAACAGCAUAAUUUAAUUUAAUAGCUCUUAUUCAAAAUUAAGAUUAUGACCUCGAUGUUGAAUUAAAAUUCUACUAAACGAAAAAAAUUAGCAAGAAAGUCUGUUCGACUUUUAAUUAUUUACAUGAUUUGAGUUCAGACCGGUGAAAACCAGGUCGGUUUCUAUCUUUUUUUAACUUUUAUUAGUACGAAAGGACCAUAAAAACUAUUU